AUGAUUAUAAAGUUAGUUUUACUAGAGAUGGUAAGAGAAAAAGUAGUGAGAUAUGAGAAUCUAAAUCAUUGUAAAAAAAGGUUUGUGUUCCCGUCACUGUGUGCUGUUGUUCACAUAGCUCCUGAACUUAUAUCUCAUCAUUUAGAAUUGGGACAUGAAGAUUCAAGAGCUUACUUUCAGGAAACGAAAUAG
Molecule: non-coding RNA, 192 nt
Organism: Vicia faba (fava bean)
Lineage: Eukaryota; Viridiplantae; Streptophyta; Magnoliopsida; Fabales; Fabaceae
Source: the annotation of a GenBank genome assembly